This 1728-nucleotide long non-coding RNA is filed under the name Manihot esculenta (cassava). RNAcentral describes it as "long non-coding RNA (MESC_LNC012043)". Lineage: Eukaryota; Viridiplantae; Streptophyta; Magnoliopsida; Malpighiales; Euphorbiaceae. The record is from RNAcentral.
CCCCCUUCUUUCCUUGUUUCCUAUCACACACCAUGGCCAAGGGAAAGUUUUUUAUUUGAUCAUGCUUAUUCUUUUAUAUUAGGUUUAAUGCAAUCCCUUAAGAGUGACUUGCCCUAUUUUAAGCAUUUUUAAUUAUCAGCACUUUUUUUUUUUUUUUUAUUUAACUUUGCCUGAAAAAAUCNNNNNNACGCGAUGGUGCAUAUGGGUGAUACACCCCCGGUUACUCAGUUGGUCACUUGUCCAAGUGGCUACUAGCUCUGUUCAUAAUCUUAGGCCAUCGGAACUUUAUUUUUGAUGCCUGAAAAAGUCACCAACCUUUUUACGCGACGGUGCACAUGGGUAAUACACCUCCGGUUACUCAGUUGGUCACUUCUCCAAGUGGCUUUUAGGCACAGUUCAUAGUCUUAGAUCAUAGGAACAGGUUGUGCUUUCUGAUUUGCUGAGUUUUUCUUUUUCUUUUUCCUUUUUAUAUCAAUUUGGGCAAAUCAACUCAAAGAGAAUUACACUAACUUUUAUUGCAUGUAUUUUAUUUUCCUUUCCUAUUGGCCACAGCAGUUUCAAGAACUCAAUUCAAGAAAAAGAACUUCCUAAGUAAGGGCUACACACUGUGCAUGGUUCAAUUUAGGUUUAAAGGGUUGGAUAAUUUAAUGGGGUCAUGAGGUAAGGAACUCUUUUGGCUUAGUCAUCUAUGCUGAGUAGAGCAAUAGGCUAAAAAAAACAAAAUUCUGUGUGUGUGUGCAUAUGUGUGGAAGAAAAAAUUUUCUGGUGUGUGAAAGAGGUAAGACUAAUGCAAAAAGAAACAAAAAGAAUGUAAAAGAAAACUAAACAUGGUGAGGACUGUGCAAGUGAAGACUGUGCAAAAUGUUCUCCAAACACCCCCCCACACCUAUUGCAAACAUUGUCCCCAAUGUGUGAACAUAUAUACAUAUAAAUUAAGAAGGAAAGGGAAAGGGACUUCCUGGCCUGGGGUGAUUUGGGCAAAUUGCCUCAGUGAUUUGGGCAAAUCACCCAGCCAAAUCACUGUCUUUGCUGUUCUGUGGGCAGGAAGUGAUUCACAUCUGCUGGUUCUUCUGCUGGGGCAGUAUGCUGUCUGAUUAGCUGUCUUCAUCCUGAACACACGCUCAUGGCCAAUGCAAAACAUAUAAAGAGAAAAAUGAGAGAGAAAGGGACUCCCUAGGGUGGUGAUUUGGCCAAAUCAGUGGCCAAAUCAGCUGUGAUGGUGGUCUGCAGGUAUGAAGUGUUGAACCAGCAGCUGCAGCAUGCCUUCCAUGUGUAUGGUUCGGGCCUCCAUUCUGUCAAGGCGAGAUUCUGCAGAUUGAUCAGCUGCUGGAGGUUCUGCUGAUUUGGGCAGUGAUUUGGGCAAAUCACUUGGCCAAAUCACCUCUGCUGUAGUUAAGUUCUGCUGAUUUUCCCAUUGAUUUGCGCAAAUCACCUCGGCUGGGUUGCCUCCCAGUAGCGCCCUAGUUUAAAGUCGCGGGCUGGACUUUUCUGACUUGAUCAAGGCUCAAGUAAUAGGGGGAGGGAAAAGGAUUCCCACAGAAUUAAGUAAGAAGUGUAGCACACCUUUCAUUUUGGUUAUAAUCCAUCCUAUUUCUUUCAUGUACUCAUGAAAUAGCAUGAUUAAUUUCUCCUCUUUCAAGUGAGGUGUGCCUCUAGCCCCUAUGUUUGAAAUUUUGAGGUGAUUGGGCAGCACUUUGAACUCCAAUUCAUAUUUCUCCAUAAAAGGUG